AUUGAACGCUGGCGGCAGGCCUAACACAUGCAAGUCGAGCGAGCGGCGGACGGGUGAGUAAUGUAUGGGGACUGCACGAUAGAGGGGGAUAACUACGGGAAACGGUAGCAAAUACCGCAUACUAUCGGAUAACCCAUAUGGGAUUAGCUAGUAGUUGAGGUAAUGGCUCACCUAGGCGACGAUCCCUAGCUGGUCUGAGAGGAUGAUCAGCCACACUGGUACUGAGACCCGGCCCAGACUCCUGCGGAGGCAGCCAUGGUGAAUAUUGCACACUGGGCGCAAGCCUGAUGCAGCCAUGCCGCGUGUAUGAAGAAGGCACUCGGGUUGUAAAGGACUUUCAGUCGGGAGGCGUUACCGACAGAAGAGGCCCCGGCUAACUCCGUGCCAGCAGCCGCGGUAAUUC
RNAcentral lists this ribosomal RNA (403 nucleotides) under uncultured bacterium. RNAcentral describes it as "partial 16S ribosomal RNA". It matches the Rfam family "Bacterial small subunit ribosomal RNA", at positions 30 to 526 of the family's 1533-position model. The record is from RNAcentral.